AGAGUACGUGAAACCGUCCAGGGGUAAACCUGAGAAACCCGAAAGGUCGAAAGGGGAGAUUCAGCGUGUCUCGAUUUCGGCGUUGAACGGUCGUGCGACGGAAGACGUACGCGUCAUCCGCACCUUCCGUGCUCCGAACCGUUGUCGAACGCGUGCACUUCUCCCCCUGUAGGACGUCGCGAUCCGUCGAGUGCCGGUCUAAGGCCCGCAACGGAGCCCGUUCGGACGGUCCGCCGUUCCGGACGAACUUGCGGUGUUUCCCGGUCGGCUCGCUCGACGGUAUACAGAUGGCGCGGGGCCGCUACACAGUUAGCGUCCGACCGGCGGCAAGCGCGCUCGUCGCGACGGUGAUCGGACCCGGUGCCGGUCCCGUCCCCGAGUGGCUGUUCGCCGUCGUGUUCUCGGACAGAGCUCGUCGAAACGCCGAUCUGCGACGCUAUAGCUUUGGGUACUUUCAGGACCCGUCUUG
This 469-nucleotide ribosomal RNA is filed under the name Heterasida connivens. RNAcentral's name for it is "eukaryotic LSU rRNA". Lineage: Eukaryota; Metazoa; Arthropoda; Insecta; Coleoptera; Tenebrionidae. The record is from RNAcentral.